ACGUAGGGGGCCAGCGUUGUUCGGAAUUACUGGGUGUAAAGGGUUCGUAGGCGGUGUGGCAAGUCGGGAGUGAAAUUUCUGGGCUUAACCCAGAACCUGCUUCCGAAACUGCUGUGCUGGAGUGUGGGAGAGGCGCGUGGAAUUGCAGGUGUAGCGGUGAAAUGCGUAGAUAUCGGGAGGAACACCUGUGGCGAAAGCGGCGCACUGGACCACAACUGACGCUGAGGCGCGAAAGCUAGGGGAGCAAACAGGA
This 253-nucleotide ribosomal RNA is filed under the name uncultured prokaryote. RNAcentral describes it as "partial 16S ribosomal RNA". It matches the Rfam family "Bacterial small subunit ribosomal RNA", at positions 525 to 777 of the family's 1533-position model. The record is from RNAcentral.